AGAGUUUGAUCCUGGCUCAGAACGAACGCUGGCGGCAGGCCUAACACAUGCAAGUCGAACGAAGUCUUCGGACUUAGUGGCAGACGGGUGAGUAACGCGUGGGAAUCUACCCAGCUCUACGGAAUAGCUCCGGGAAACUGGAAUUAAUACCGUAUACGCCCUACGGGGGAAAGAUUUAUCGGAGUUGGAUGAGCCCGCGUUGGAUUAGCUAGUUGGUGAGGUAACGGCUCACCAAGGCGACGAUCCAUAGCUGGUCUGAGAGGAUGAUCAGCCACAUUGGGACUGAGACACGGCCCAAACUCCUACGGGAGGCAGCAGUGGGGAAUAUUGGACAAUGGGCGCAAGCCUGAUCCAGCCAUGCCGCGUGAGUGAUGACGGCCCUAGGGUUGUAAAGCUCUUUCACCGGUGAAGAUAAUGACGGUAACCGGAGAAGAAGCCCCGGCUAACUUUGUGCCAGCAGCCGCGGUAAUACGAAGGGGGCUAGCGUUGUUCGGAAUAACUGGGCGUAAAGCGCGCGUAGGCGGGCUGUUAAGUCAGGGGUGAAAUCCCGGGGCUCAACCCCGGAACUGCCUUUGAUACUGGCAGCCUAGAGUUCGAGAGAGGUGAGUGGAAUUCCGAGUGUAGAGGUGAAAUUCGUAGAUAUUCGGAGGAACACCAGUGGCGAAGGCGGCUCACUGGCUCGAUACUGACGCUGAGGUGCGAAAGCGUGGGGAGCAAACAGGAUUAGAUACCCUAGUAGUCC
RNAcentral lists this ribosomal RNA (742 nucleotides) under uncultured bacterium. RNAcentral's name for it is "bacterial SSU rRNA". It matches the Rfam family "Bacterial small subunit ribosomal RNA", at positions 8 to 796 of the family's 1533-position model. The record is from RNAcentral.